RNAcentral lists this ribosomal RNA (243 nucleotides) under Triticum aestivum (bread wheat). Its description in RNAcentral is "partial small subunit ribosomal RNA". Lineage: Eukaryota; Viridiplantae; Streptophyta; Magnoliopsida; Poales; Poaceae. The record is from RNAcentral.
UCACUACCCAGUUCUGCAUCAUUUCCUAAAAUGAUGAUCUCAUUAUUAACUAUUCUCACAAAACCGCUCCACAGAACCGUUGUUAACCAUUGGUCGUUGAGGAGGCGUAUUCUCAAAGGACCCAUAUCUACUGCUGUAUUAAUGGGGGCGUGGUUUGGUAAUACGCCAAUUUGGCCACUAUUAGUGGAUAUGAUUUCUUUCACUUCACAAUCCCAAAUAAUUCGCUUAGGAGUCAGUACAUAA